UCCCGUAGUGUAGCGGUUAUCACGUCGCCCUGUCACGGCGAAGAUCGCGGGUUCGAUUCCCGUCGGGACCG
This 71-nucleotide transfer RNA is filed under the name Staphylococcus aureus. RNAcentral describes it as "tRNA-Asp". It matches the Rfam family "tRNA". Rfam says of the family: Transfer RNA (tRNA) molecules are approximately 80 nucleotides in length. Lineage: Bacteria; Bacillati; Bacillota; Bacilli; Caryophanales; Staphylococcaceae. RNAcentral also lists the same sequence under 5 other names. The record is from RNAcentral.